This 405-nucleotide ribosomal RNA is filed under the name uncultured bacterium. RNAcentral describes it as "partial 16S ribosomal RNA". It matches the Rfam family "Bacterial small subunit ribosomal RNA", at positions 30 to 526 of the family's 1533-position model. The record is from RNAcentral.
AUUGAACGCUAGCGGGAUGCUUUACACAUGCAAGUCGAACGAGUGGCGGACUGGUGAGUAAUAUAUCGGAACGUGCCCAGUAGAGGGGGCUAACUCCUCGAAAGAGUGGCUAAUACCGCAUACUAUCGGUACGGCCGAUAUCGGAUUAGCUAGUGGGUGGGGUAAAGGCUCACAAAGGCAAAGAUCCGUAGCUGGUCUGAGAGGAAGACCAGCCACACUGGGACUGAGAGACGGCCCAGACUCAUACGGGAGGCAGCAGUGGGGAAUUUUGGACAAUGGGGGAAACCCUGAUCCAGCCAUCCCGCGUGUAUGAGAAGGCCUUCGGGUUGUAAAGUACUUUUGGCAGAGAAGCGGUAUCUGCAGAAUAAGCACCGGCUAACUACGUGCCAGCAGCCGCGGUAAUAC